Ipomoea nil (Japanese morning glory) is the source of this 2288-nucleotide RNA transcript. It is a transcript of the gene named zinc finger CCCH domain-containing protein 12-like, with no coding region annotated. The transcript is spliced from 10 exons. NCBI's taxonomy places the organism in Eukaryota, Viridiplantae, Streptophyta, Magnoliopsida, Solanales, Convolvulaceae. The record is from RefSeq and is a predicted model, not a curated record.
CGUCCAUUUAGCAGGUGGUCUCACUCCAACAAAUUGUUCUUUCAGCAACAUCUACUUAAAUAGUCUUCGCACUUCGUCUUCACUCCAUCAACACACGAACCCUAAAACCUCGUCCUCACUUCAUCACUUCAUCACUUCAUCACUUCAUCAACACACGAGCCCUAAACCCUCGUCCUCACUUCUUCACUUCAUCAACACACGAGCCCUAAACUCUACCAUCAUCAACCCUCGUCCUCACUUCAUCACAACCUAGUAGCCUACUCGUAGAAUGAAGCAAAAGGAAGAAGACAUUGCAAAUCAUAGCCUAAUCGUAGAAAGCAGCAGAAGGAAGAAGACAUUGCAACAGAUUUUUUCCAGAGAAGUAAGGAGAAAAGCAUAAAAGUAAAAGCCACAAGCAUAAGGAUUCAUCAGUUCAUUGAUAGGGAAAAUGAACUUAGACAAUCAAAACCACCCACUCCACAGCUACCACAAAGACCAACCAUGGAUCCCUGGACAAAGUCUCGACUCAGUGGUCAUUUGUGUACACAAUCACCUCUGCUAUUAUCAUCAGGUUAAUACCAGCAGUAUCUCGGAGUAUAUGAUACAUUGCAGAAGAAAUAUCUGAAAACACUCUUAUUCUCUGUGUGUGAAGCAAUAGAUGGGCCCAUAUGAUUGAGGAAUAUGCUUGCCUUCCAUAAUUCUUAUAUACAUGUGCCAAUGUGGGUUCUAUGUCUAUAGCAUCGCUGCCCUCCUUGUCUGGGAAACUCGAACGAAAUAUUUUGCAGUAAUGAUGUCUCAUCAUAUAGUCACUGUCAUACUGAUUUCAUACUCAUACAUUACAAGCCGGCGUGGUUUCGGCGACUGAGACGGGGCUCGAAGAGGCUUUGUGGCAGUUGUCGCACAGUGGUGGGCCCAAAUCCUACCCCGAGCGUCCUAACGUGGCUGAUUGUAUCUAUUACUUGGGGACUGGCUUGUGCGGCUAUGGUGCUCGCUGUCGGUUCAACCAAGGCCUAAUUGGGUUGAUCUUAAUGUUCACUUGGGGUUUAGUGUAGAUCUGUUGAUAAUUGGGUUGAUCUUAAUGUUCAAAGAAGGGACUUGGGCUCACGAACACUAUUGAUAACUGCAACAACCCGGGUUCCACUUGAGCAAGUAGGGCAUGGAUUGACACCAACACCAAUCGCGAAAACUAGAGAAUGAUCAACACUCAGCGGGGCGUUUGCAGGGUAGAGUCUCGAAUUCAAGCUUCUGAGGGAGUCCGUGAAAGAAAUUGUCACUGGCGUGGUGUCCGCGAAAGUAAUGCCUAGUUGGAAUUGUAUUAUUACUUCAUUGUAAUUACAUUUGGAAUAAAUAUGGCAUCAUUUUUUGACCACAUAGUAAAUACUAGUUGUAGGUUUACAGUUUUGUAAAUAUUAAUAUGAUAUAAGUAUAACCACAUAGUAAUCUUCCAUCAAUUUGAUAUGCUAGAAAUUAAAGUUCUAAAAUUUGACAUGGGAUGGGUCAAUGUGAUCAAUAGAUAUUUAUGCAGAUGGUAUACUUAUUCCAAAUUAGGCAAGACAGGUUGGUGAUAGACUUCUGGAAUGAUAUAUUAUUCUUCUUACCAGGAAAAUAAUGGGAUAAGACUUCUGUAAUGUUUGUUCUCAUGCUAUGUAGUUAAGUCCCCCAUUUAAUGCAUUGGCAGGCAAAAGAGGCUGGUAGCACUUGAUUUUGUAUUGGUGCUGCAUGCAGGGAUACUAUAGGAAGGAAAACCAAUUUAAUAUAAUUUUCUGCCUGUGAAGUUGAAACUGAUGCUACAAUUGGUUCUCUGGCAUUAAUUCUUCAAAGGAGAAUUGAUUUUUCCAAUCUCAUGAUUGUAUGUGGGACUUUGAAGAACUUUUCAAAGAGCACUUCAGGAGGCGCGGUUAUUACAUUCUCAAAGCAUGUGAUGCCUAUAUUGAGAAAUUUGCUCCCUUGGAUGAGAGGCCAAAGGGAGCUCCAUACAUCAACCAAGGUGUGGGAUGCACGGAAAUUAUAUUGCUGAUAAUAGGCAUGGAGAUGAUGAAGGAUUUUGUUCAUGGAGCAUGUAUGAAAUAGAAGGUUUUUGUGAAAGAUCUUUUGAAAUUACAGUGUCUGACAUGUAUCAGGUAUUAGUGUUUCUUACAGUACUAAAAAAUUUGGAAUUUCAUUACAUUGUACUCAGUUGACAUUGACCAAUCUGGCUAUUCACUUAGUCUUAUAAUUACAGAGUAGUUUUUGUUUUCUUUUUGAAAUGAGGUUGGCUUAAGUGUUGACAUCCCCUCUUAUAUAUGGUUGUGUAAUUUUCUAUUUGAGAU